Molecule: long non-coding RNA, 309 nt
Filed under: Eucalyptus grandis
Lineage: Eukaryota; Viridiplantae; Streptophyta; Magnoliopsida; Myrtales; Myrtaceae
Description: long non-coding RNA (EGRA_LNC006915)
Source: RNAcentral
AAGGGGCGAACCUCCCAUGGCGACAGAUGGGGAUUUUUCACCGCUUCCACCAAAACAAGGCAGUCUGAUUCGAUGAUAAUGGGGUUGGAGGUCCAGUUUGAGUUGAUCAAAUGGUUGAGGGCGAAACACAGUGCUUGAGCCUCCACCUGCAAAGCAGAAGACGCAAGUACGGUCUCUGUAAUUCCUUCAACGAUAUAUCCUUUGUGAUCUCGACAAAUGAAGGCGAUUGAUCCUUGAUCACUGCCUGGCUUGAAAGCCCCAUCAACAUUCAUCUUCAGAACUCCGGGAUCAGGCGGACGCCAUAAGCUA